GUCGCAAGACCAAAGAGGGGGACCUUCGGGCCUCUUGCCAUCAUAUGUGCCCAUAUGGGAUUAUCUAGUAGGUGGGGUAGCGGCUCACCUACGCGACGAUCCCUAGCUGGUCUGAGAGGAUGACCAGCCACACUGGAACUGAGACACGGUCCACACUCCUACGGGAGGCAGCAGUGGGGAAUAUUGCACAGUGGGCGCAAGCCUGAUGCAGCCAUGCCGCGUGUAUGAAGAGGGCCUUCGGGUUGUAAAGUACUUUCAGCGGGGAAGAAGGCGUUGAGGUUAAUAACCACAGCGAUUGACGUUACCCGCAGAAGAAGCACCGGCUAUCUCCGUGCCAGCAGCCGCGGUAAUACGGAGGGUGCAAGCGUUAAUCGGAAUUACUGGGCGUAAAGCGCACGCAGGCGGUCUGUCAAGUCAGAUGUGAAAUCCCCGGGCUCAACCUGGGAACUGCAUUCGAAACUGGCAGCUAGAGUCUUGUAGAGGGGGGUAGAAUUCCAGGGUGUAGCGGUGAAAUGCGUAGAGAUCUGGAAGAAUACCGGGUGGCAAGG
RNAcentral lists this ribosomal RNA (548 nucleotides) under Enterobacter mori. RNAcentral's name for it is "bacterial SSU rRNA". It matches the Rfam family "Bacterial small subunit ribosomal RNA", at positions 173 to 721 of the family's 1533-position model. The record is from RNAcentral. Lineage: Bacteria; Pseudomonadati; Pseudomonadota; Gammaproteobacteria; Enterobacterales; Enterobacteriaceae.